GUCGCCCAGAAGCUCCUCAAUGGCCGGCGCAAGUGCCAGCCAGCGCCAGCUGCAGCCCUGGCCGCGCACUCGCCUCAGCUGAGCCUGGGGCCUUCACCAUCUCUGCCAUCUGGAGAAUUUGUUCCCAUCAGGAAUCUCCCACCUGGCAGUGGGACCAUGCUAGUAGCCUGUCCAUUUCCUGCAGAUAAAAAAAAGAGGUAUCGGUAAUACAUGCAUAUAUAUAAAACAAGUGGUAAUAUUUGGAUCGUAUGCAAUACUCAUGAUGGUGUGACAAAACAAAACAAAAAAUGUGGAGGUUUAAAAAUCUGGCUUUAAAUUCCUUUUGCAUUUUGUUUGCCUUCACAUUCUUGUUCUGCCACUUAGUUUGAUGGGAAACCUUAGGCAAAUUUCUUAAUCUGAGAUUCAAUUUCUUUUCUUUUUUUUUUUUUUUUUUGUGACAGGAUCUCACUCUGUCACCCAGGCUGGAGUGCAGUCAUGCAGUCUUGGCUCACUACAGCCUCUGCCCCCGUGGGCUCAAGCAAUCCUCCCACCUCAGCCUCCUGAGUAGCUGGGACCACAAGUGUGCACCACCACGCCUGGCUAAUUUUUGUAUUUUUUGUAGAGAUGGGGUUUUGUUAUGUUGCCCAGGCUGGUCUCAAACUCCUGAGAUCAAGUGAUCCUUCCACCUCAGCCUCCCAAAGUGCUGGAAUUACAGGUGUGAGCCAACACGCCCGGCUGAGAUUCAAUUUCUUCAUCUGAAAAAUGAGGAUACCUAUGGACAACUGUAGCUUGUUCAUAAAAGAAAAAAAAAUAAGUAUGAAAAAUGGGGAUACUAUCUCACUAUCUCUUAGGUAGUAGCUGUAUCAAUUAAAGUAACAUGGAACCAGGUUCAAUGGCUCAGAGACAGGGUGCAGAAGCGAAGGCAGGAGGAUUGCUUGAGCCCAGGAGUUCAAGGUUGCAGUGAGCUAUGAUCAUGUCACUGCACUCCAGCCUGGGUGACAGAGUGAGACCCUGUCUCAAAAAAUAAAAAAUAAAAAGAUAGUAAUAAAAUAGCAUGGGUGAAAUGUUGAGCACAUGAUAGAUUUGCACUUACCUCUUUCUUCCUCUACACAAACCCUUGCCCCAACUAGGCGAAUUUAGACACUCUACCCUAAAAUACAUCUAGCACUUUCUACCCAUCCUUCUGCUCAUGCUGUUUCUCUGCCUCUUCCUCUCCAUUUACUGAACUCUUAACAGUUCUUGGUGAUUCUCACCAUUAUAUGCUCCAGAAGGGAAGUAUAUAAUACAUAUAUAUUUUUGACAGUAUAUACCUGGCCCCUGCCAUAAAUGCACAAUGAUUAUCGCCAAAUAGUUAAAUGAGCACCUUUAGACUUGUUUGAAUGCCUCAGAAAAAUCAUAGAAUUAAAAAGGACCGGCCAGGCAUGGUGGCUCACGUCUGGAAUCCCAGCACUUUGGGAGGCAGAGGUGGGCAAAUCACCUGAGGUCAAGAGUUAGAGACCAGCCUGGCCAACAUGGCGAAAUCCUAUCUCUAUUAAAAAUACAAAAAUUAGGCUGGGUGCGGUGGCUCACACCUGUAAUCCCAGCACUUUGGGAGGCCAAGGUGGGCGGAUCACGAGGUCAGGAGAUCAAGACCAUCCUGGCUAACAAGGUGAAACCCCAUCUCUACUAAAAACAAAAAAAAAUUUAGCCAGGCAUGGUGGCGGGCACCCGUAGUCCCAGUUACUCGGGAGGCUGAGGCAGGAGAAUGGCGUGAACCCGGGAGGUGGAGCUUGCAGUGAGCUAAGAUCGUGCCACUGCACUCCAGCCUGGGCAACAGAGCGAGACUCCAUCUCAAAAAAAAAAAAAAAAAAAAAGCCAGGCAUGAUGGUGCACACCAGUAAUCCCAGCUACUUGGGAGGCUGAGGCAGGAGAAUCACUUGAACCUGGGAGUCGGAGGUUAUAGUGAGCCAAGAUCGUGCCACUGCACUCCAGCUUGGGGGACAGAGCGAGACUCUGUCUCAAAAUAAAUAAAAAAGGGUCUGUGCUUCAAACUCCUUAUUCCACAGGAGGAAACCAAGACCCAAAAAAGAAAUAUGACUUAAAGAGCUAGUUAGCAGCUGACAGGACUAGAUUCGGGUCUCUUUACGGUACUGUUUCCAAUAGGCCACACUUCUUCAGCUUGAUGCACCACUUCAGUGUCUUUACAAGAAAGGAUGUCUAAGCACUGUAACUUCUUUCAAGGCAGAGUCCUGGUCUUUUGAUGUUCCUCAAGAUCCUGUCUUUGGCUCUCUUAUUCUGACACAUUCACACUGAUUUCAUCCAUUUUCUUUUUCUUUUUGUUUUUUUUUGUUUUUUUGAGGCAGAGCCUUGCCCUGUUGCCCAGGCCAGAGUGCAGUGGCAUGAUCUCGGCUCACUGCAACCUCUGUCUCCUGGGUUUAAGCGAUUCUCCUGCCUCAGCCUCCUGAGUAGCUAAGACUACAGGUGCGUGCCAACACUCCCAGCUAAUUUUUUGUAUUUUUAGUAGAGAUGGGGUUUCACCAUAUUGGCCAGGCUGGUCUUGAACUCCUGACCUUGUGAUCCACCCGCCUUGGCCUCUCAAAGUGCUGGGAUGACAGGCUUGAGCCACCGCGCCUGGCCUAUUUUCAGUUUCUUCAACAAAUAUAUCACCAAGGGGAAAAAAUGGAUCAUCCUGGCAUGGUGUCUCAGGCCUGUAAUCCCAGCACUUUGGGAAGCUGAGGCAGGGAUUGCUUGAGGCCACAGUGAGCUAUGAUGGCACCACUGCACUCCAGCCUCGGCAACACAGUGAGACCUUGCCCCCCCGCCCCACCAAAAAAACAAAUAAAUAAAAGGAGUAAGUAGGGAAAUAAUCAGAUUGAAUCGGAAUUAAGAAAUAACAUACAAUUGCAAUGUAUGAGCUUUAUUUUGUCCCUAAUUCAGCCAGCAAACGUUAAAAACCCUUUAUGGGAUAAUAGAUGAAUUUGAACAGAUUGGAUAUAUUAUUAAGCAGCGCUGCCAGUUUUUUAGUUGAGAAAGGGUAAUCAUUUUUUCGUGACUUCUUUUGACUAUUCCAGCUGAAGGUUUAGAAUACAAUGGGAUAUGUCUGGACCCACUUCAAAAUGGCUCCGGCAGACGGGGAGAGUGCGAUUCCACAGGAGCAGGACUGGCCACAAACUGGCAGCUCUUUAAGCUGGCCCACGAGUACGUGAGGGCAGGGGUCGUUCCUCGUUACAUUCUCCUCUUUCCCUUUUUUUUUUUUUUUUUUUUUGAGAUGAAGUCUCGCUCUAUCUCCCAAGCUGGAGUGCAGUGGCACAAUCUCGGCUCACUGCAGCCUCCGCCCCCUGGCUUCAAGCGAUUCCCCUGCCUCAGCCUCCUGAGUAGCUGGGAUUACAGGCCUACGCCACCACGCCCGGCUGAUUUUUUGUAUUUUUGUGGAGACGGGGUUUCACCAUGUUGGCCAGGCUGGUCUCCAACUCCUAACCUCAAGUGAUCCACUCGUCUCGGCCUCCCAAAGUGCUGGGAUUAUAGGCAUGAGCCACCGCGCCCGGCCUCUCUUUCCCUUUUAUAAGUUUGAAAGAUUCCAGAGCAAGAAGUUGAAAGCACAAGGCGGUGAGGCACCCUGCGCACCGAGAGCGACCUCCCCAGCCGGCGGCUGCAAGCGUAUCCCGGAAGCGGGCAGAGGGGCCUCAGGCUCUCUCCCACCAGGGCGGAGGGCCCCAUCCCCUUUCCUAGCGCCCCCGGCGUGGCCGGCGGUUCAAUGACCUAGCCUGAGCCACGCACCAACCAGGAGCGACAGCAGGGACAGCAGCGGUGAUGAACAACCCAUGCUGGCAUCAGGACUGGCGCGCCACGCCGCGCACACCCACGGCCCCGCUGCUCAUCCGCCCUCACGCACCACGGUGGCAGUCGCCUCCUCCACACAUGCGCAUGCUGCUCCACCACCGCCCCUCACCCACCGGUUCAGCGGGGGAAACUGACGGACGCGAGGCGUAGGACUGGCCAUACCACCUGCAGGGCUGCCCAGGGAAGUAAGGAAAAGCAGGUUGAGGGUCCCUAGAGGCCCCUUCACUACUUUUUGAACCUUUGGACAGCUUUCAUUCCCUUUAAGAUUGCUUCUGUGUGUCAAACCAUUGCAAGACCACAAAGGAGGUUUCAACUUAACAUUUAUUUGCACACUCCAGGUCACUGCUGAGCCCCCAAAUCCCACAGCCUAGUAACACCAACUUCACUUUCAAGGACCGCAGAGAUAGACCAACUAUAUAAAUCUUGUGGAAACAUAGUAAUUUGGGUGAGGAAACUAUGAUGCUAGAGGCUUUGGGAUGAAUAUUUUGCAUAAGCAAAAGUUCAGAAGCUUGAAAAUAUAGUCAGCCUACAAAUCUCAAAUUUCACCUGAUAACCGUAGCCCUUAGCCACCAUGCCUUCCAGCUCUCUCAACUCCCUUGCCUCUAGUUUACUCCUCUUCCCAUUUCCUACAACUGUGUAGGGGGAGCAUUUUAGCAAAGCUAUUUCAAAAGUGUGAAAAGUCCAACUGAUCAAUAAAUUUACUCAGAAAUUUACACUAACGGGAUGCUUCCAAAAUUUUAAAUUACUAAGCGUUAUUUAUAUUAGCAUAAAAAUUUUAAAACCAGAUGCUUAACAAUAGGGUACUGCUGAAUAAUUUAACAUAUGUCCACAUAAAAUUAAACCAUUAAAAUCUGCUUUUUCAAGGAAUAUUUAAUAAGGUAGGUAAUAUAUGCUUAUUUAACAUGGAAUUUUAUGUCACUGCUGCUAAAGCAAAACAUCCUGUUCACUGGGUGAAAGACCUGCUUUAUGUGUGUACACUUCAGUGCAAUUUUUAAAAAAUACUGUAAUUAUAAUUUCAGAACUUCCAAAUUUCAACAGAUGCCAGUGUUCUCUCCUUUUUUCACAUGGGAAAAUUCCCUUGAAACUCAUUUGAAGCUUGGACAAAAAUUCCACAGCUGUACUCUUCAGGAUCACUUUGCAGAGUCUUCAAGACUCAGAUACAGAGGAAGCUUCAAUUCAACCUUUCAGAGAAGACAUUCCAGCUCGCAUGAUCUCAUCAACCAAGAGAAUGUUGGUGGCAAUCAGUGCUGAAAGGGGGAUAAAAAUUAGAUAGCUCAGAUGAUUAGGAGCCCUAAUUCGACUCAACUUCCCACUUCCAACUAAGCUGCACACGUUAACAUCCAAUUAAAUUUCCCCCUUCCCCUCUACACAUCAGAGGGCGAGUUCGGUUUCCAUACUUUUCAGCUGAUUACAUUAUUCAUGGGGGAAAAUGAGCAACUAAACAGAAAACACCAAAUGAAAAGAGUAUGAUGAUUCUCUAACAGUUUAGUUUUCAUUUUCCCAAACUUACCAGGAAUGAAGAAGCUGUUUCUUUACACAAUCGUUAUCCCAUAAUGCCUGCUUCUGCUGCUACCACGGGCUCACCUAAAAGGCAACCAAAGUAAGUUCAGUCAAUAAGAACCAACAAUAUUGUGUGUGGCUUUGCUUAUCACCGAUGACUCAUUUCCUCCAGUAUUAACUAUGGGAAUUCAAAGCUUCUCUGUUAGCCCAAUUUUCUACUCUAAACCAUGACCCCUGUCCACAAUAUUUGAGGAGUGUCUGACUUCUACUUAGAAGAUCUGAACACCCCUCUCUCCUUCUGGAUACAUUUCUGUUUACCCAUACUAAAGUACAGCACUGCAACCCUAAUCUGGCUAAAAUGGACUGAUCAUUUCCCUCAUUCCAGAAAUCUUUUUUAUUAAAUAAUAAUGUUGACAGCAAUAGGUCUUGCACAUACUGCAUGGAUGUACCUGUUAUCUGUCUCCCACUUUGUACUUAAUUUGUGUUGUUUUGUUACAGGGGCCUAAGAUCAGGGCUGUCACCAUUUAAUUAGAUUUCUAGAUCCCCUUUUCUGGCAUUAUUUGCUAUCUUUAGCUGUUUUUCACCCAUGAAUAUAAUCACCCAAUCUAUUUUCUUAUCAUAGUACUUGAUUAAAAACUGAGUAAGGUGGCUGGGUGCGGUGCUUCACGCCUGUAAUCCCAGCAUUUUGGGAGGCUGAGGCGGGCGGAUCACGAGGUCAGGAGAUCGAGACCAUCCUGGCUAACACGGUGAAACCCCAUCUCAACUAAAAAUACAAAAAAUUAGCCAGGCGUGGUGGCGGGUGCCUGUAGUCCCAGCUACUCGGGAGGCUGAGGCAGGAGAAUGGCGUGAACCUGGGAGGCAGCAGUUGCAGUGAGCCAAGAUCUUGCCACUGCACUCCAGCCUGGGCAACAGAGCAAGACUCCGUCUCAAAAAGAAAAAAAAAGAAACAAAGAACUGAGUUUAAGGCAAAUGCAAUAUGAAAAUCCUUCAACAUUAAUCUGAACCAUCUACCACCACUCAACAUCUCCAACAAAACUAUACCAAAAUUACUCAGUCUACUCUACUCCCUUAAUUAUUAUACCUAGUCAUUCCAUUUUUUAUUAAUAUCCUAUUUUAUCCCAUUUUAGAACCCAGACUUCCCUAAUAGUACUGGUGUCAAAUUGCAAAGCAAAAGAUUUUUUUUGUGGUCCCCAUUUUGAAUCUUUCCUGGCUUCAACUCACAUGUACUACAUCUAGUUUUUCCUCUACAAACAGUUGCAUUCUCUUACCUGUGUUCAGGUCCACACCCACGAGCUGACCUGAUUCUGAAUGUUCUGCUUAAAUUUUAACUAAUGUUUCCUGAAGGUCAAAACCAGAAUUCUGAGCAAGAACCUAAAGUAAACAAAUAUAAUUCCUGAGAAAACAGGAAGAAUUGAUAUUUAAAAAAAAAAAAAAAAAAAAGGCUGGGCAUAGUGGCUCACACCUGUAAUCCCAGCACGCUGAGAGGCCAAGGCGGGUGGAUCACAAGGUCAAGAGAUCGAGACUAUCCUGGCCAACAUGGUGAAACCCUGUCUCUACUACAAAUACAAAAAAUUAGCUGGGCAUUGUGGCACGUGCCUGUAGUCCCAGCUACUCAGGAGGCUGAGGCAGGAGAAUCGCUUGAACCUGGGAGGUGGAGGUUGCCGUGAGCUGAGAUCAUGCCACUGCACUCCAGCCUGGGCGACAAGAGACUGCAUCUCAAAAAAAAAAAAAAAAAAAGAGCAAAAGAAAA
Long non-coding RNA from Pan troglodytes (chimpanzee), 7048 nucleotides. RefSeq lists it as uncharacterized. The record is from RefSeq and is a predicted model, not a curated record. The transcript has 2 exons. Lineage: Eukaryota; Metazoa; Chordata; Mammalia; Primates; Hominidae.